GUAGCAGCCAUGAAUUACAUAGCUAAAUCAUUCUACGACCUACAUGCUACAAAUUUAGAUGGAGAAAAGGUGGAUUUUAACCUAUUUAGGGGGAGGGUGGUUUUGAUAGUGAAUGUUGCUUCCUUGUGAGACACUACUGUUAGGGAUUACACCCAACUUAAUGAGCUGCAAACCAAGUACCCACGACGACUUGUGGUACUGGGAUUCCCUUGCAAUCAGUUUGGCUACCAAGUAAGUGAUUCCAUUUAAUUAACAAUAAAAUGUGUUCUUUACAACGCAAGUAUUCUUCGCCAUCACUGGCAAGUAUACUUGGAGGUUUUAUUUACUGAGGUGAUGAGAUAUUGAAGGGCAUUGCAAAAGGUUUUGUGUUUGAGCACAACUUAAAAAUAAAUAGCUGGACUGGAGAAUUUGUAAUUCAUCGUAAUUCACUGUUUAGCUAAUAAACCCCUCACUGUUAUACUUUGCCUUUAAAACAUAGUAAACCAAUUGGUUCAGACAGUUGUUAUGGAAACUGGCAAAAAUGUGUAAAAUUUUUUUUUACUGUAUUUGCAUUUAGAAUUUUUGAUCCGAAAGCUAACCACCAACAUCUGAUACCCUUUUCACAUCACAUUUCAGAUUUCAGAUUUUCAUAGGGAGAGGAAAAAAUACACUUGUUUGAACAAAUAAUAUUGAAAAUUAUAACACCUUUAAUGGUUUAGGUCAGUGGUUCUUAACUGUUGGGUCGGUAUCCAAAAUUUGUUCCCCAUGUCUUUUUUGGGUGCGUCAAAAAUGGUUGUAACAGGUGUAUCACUUUUAAUAGGCUCCAGGUAACUGUCCUUAAUAAAUUGAUUAUUGUGAAAGCAUUUAGACAAACCAUUUUCCCUAAAAAUAUAAUUUUUUUCGGGAUGGUCGGAGAUUGGUCAUAACUCUGUUUGGCUCGGCUGAGUUUUGGUACCUGAAGUAGUAACCCCUAUGCUUUAUCCAUAACAUAUAAGGUUCACUAAUGCUGCUAAACGCGUACACAUGUCAAUAGGUGCCUUCUUUGUUUUGUCGGCAAGACAAACAUCAAUAUCUGAACUGUAAAAGGGAAAAAUACAUGUGAAAGAGGUAACCCAGAUGAUGAAAACCACGUUACUUAGAAAUAGAUCUCUUGGUGGGAAGAAUAGUAUAGCAAUAACUGGUGCACCAUUCAGAAUUAUUCACUAAAGUGUGAAUUGUUGACAAUUUUCAGUGUGGUCUAAAUUUUUUAAUUCUCUUUGAAUCUAAUUCCCACUUUAUUGAACAACUCUGUAUUUGUAACCUUGAACAGCUAUUCUGAAUUGUAACCAUAUUUAUAGAUUGUUAUUUCUAUUUCAUUUUCUUUAUUUUCUAUACAUAGGAGAAUUGCAAGAAUGAAGAAAUUUUAAAUUCCCUAAAAUAUGUUCGGCCAGGUAAUGGCUUCGAACCUGGUUUUACCUUGUUCCAGAAAUGUGAAGUGAAUGGAAAAGGCAUACACCCUGUCUUUGCCUACCUGAAGGACAAGUUACCUAGUCCUGAUGAUGAUCCCGGAAGCCUUAUUACUGACGCCCGGUUGAUUGUAUGGAGCCCAGUUCAUCGAUCUGAUAUUUCCUGGAACUUUGAGAAGUUUCUUAUAGGUCCUGAAGGGGAACCAUUCAAGCGCUACAGCAAAAAUUUUCAUACUAUCAACAUUGAACCAGAUAUCCAAAGACUCCUUAAACUUGCCAAAUAGUAGAUCUAGAAUGUAAAUUAAACAUAGUUUAAUUUAAUGGCAAAAGUUUGCAACAUGUUUAAUUUUUCAUUAUGCAAGUUUGUCCAACAAUAUUUUAACUAUGAGAUAUACUAUGGCCAUUUCAAAAAUGCAUGCUACCUUAAUCUCAACGGGUGUCAUUUGACAUAGUUAAGUCUGCAUUAAAAUCGACUGUGAUAGAACAGGGUUGAAAGAAAAAUAUAUAGAUUUUUGAAUUGCAUCAAAGCUUAUGAGUUCUUAAUAGGACAAUGUUUGUUGCUUCUGAUUUUAAACUGUAUUCAUCUAGAUAAAAUACACUAACCACAAUUGGUAGUUCAUCACUAACCAUAACUGGAAGCUCAUGGUUGAAAACGAUUUAGUUAAUCAGAUCUUUUUUUAUAAGGCAGUUCUACCAUAUAAUCAUAUAUUUAUUAUCAACCUGUCUAUAUUAGUAUAUCAUCGUUGAAAUGAGCAAUGCAAUGUAUUUACAAAAAUCUAGCAUACCCUCAACCACAGAUACAGCAACAAAGAGCAACUUAUUAGUAAUUGCAUAUAUGUUAACAAUUGUCUUACGUCCCAUGCCCAUGUACAAAAUCCUAUAGAGAUGUUCAAGGGUCCUAAUAUCUAAUGCCUCGUUUCCACUGAGCGGAUCAGUUCGGGUGGGUCCGGUACGGUGCGCUGUUUUGAGUGUUUCCAUUAUGAAAGUGGCCCAUACAAUCGAACCGUACCGCACCAUUCAUGGUCCUCCUUCAGAUGUAGGGCCAUAGGAAAUGGUAUGGUAUGGUUAGGGCGGAGCUACUAGCGUCACACUAUACAAUCCAUUGAUUGGCAGACAGGAAAAUGUCAAUGCUCACAACAAAUGAAACGCUAGGCAUUUUUUCUAAACCCCGCAUGGCCCCGGAAGGUCUGACUUGCAGUGGAAACGCUCACCUGAAUAGGCUGGACCAUUCUAAACCUUCCAAACUGUACCGACCCGAACCGUUCCACUCAGUGGAAACAAGGCAUUAGUGUCUAAGCUCACGAACAAGGGAACUUUUCUCCUUUUCAUUAUCUGCCUGUCCUAUCAAUAUCUUGCCCCUUGUUGAUAUUUAUUUGUUCACUUUAGGGUAUUUUGUAUUGGACAAACCCCUUUUAAUGUUUUUGGAAGUCCCUAUCAGACUUUCUGUUUCCAUAUGAUUUUUUUUUUCUGUUCACACAUAAAAUGACUACCCUAACACUUACUAAAAUUCUUUACCCUAAAAAUCGAUUGUGUUCAGAUUUUAGACUUGUACUUGAUGACUGUAUUCUUUUAAACCCCGUGAAGGAUACAAGAAUGCUGUAUCAGGACUGUAUCUGAGCACUGUUGUAAAUUUAAAAUUCAAAUAAAC
Molecule: non-coding RNA, 3072 nt
Organism: Pelobates cultripes (western spadefoot toad)
Lineage: Eukaryota; Metazoa; Chordata; Amphibia; Anura; Pelobatidae
Source: the annotation of a GenBank genome assembly